Molecule: ribosomal RNA, 484 nt
Filed under: uncultured bacterium
Lineage: Bacteria
Description: partial 16S ribosomal RNA
Rfam family: Bacterial small subunit ribosomal RNA
Source: RNAcentral
AUUGAACGCUGGCGGCAUGCUUUACACAUGCAAGUCGAACGGCAGCGCGUGCUUCGGCCUGGCGGCGAGUGGCGAACGGGUGAGUAAUGCAUCGGAACGUGCCCAGUAGUGGGGGAUAGCCCGGCGAAAGCCGGAUUAAUACCGCAUACGACCUGAGGGUGAAAGCGGGGGACCGAAAGGCCUCGCGCUAUUGGAGCGGCCGGUGUCGGAUUAGCGAGUUGGUGGGGUAAAGGCUUACCAAGGCGACGAUCCGUAGCUGGUCUGAGAGGACGACCAGCCACACUGGGACUGAGACACGGCCCAGACUCCUACGGGAGGCAGCAGUGGGGAAUUUUGGACAGUGGGGGCAACCCUGAUCCAGCCAUGCCGCGUGCGGGGAGAAGGCCUUCGGGUUGUAAACCGCUUUUGUUCGGGAAGAAAUCCUCUGGGCUAAUACCCCGGGGGGAUGACGGUACCGGAAGAAUAAGCACCGGCUAACUACGUG